Molecule: long non-coding RNA, 766 nt
Organism: Pteropus alecto (black flying fox)
Lineage: Eukaryota; Metazoa; Chordata; Mammalia; Chiroptera; Pteropodidae
Exons: 3
Source: RefSeq, a predicted model, not a curated record
GAGGUCAGUAAUGUUAGAUUCAUAAGAAGGAAUGUCAGUACAGCAUUCUUGUUUAAUGAGAAUACAGGUCUCACUUUGUGCUGAAGUGAGAAUAUUGAAAGCCAUUCUAUUUUGCAAAACCACUUUUCUCAUUUGAGCAGUUUCUUGAUUCAGCAAGAAAAUACUCAGUCUACAAUAAUUUAAGGCAGUUGCUAUGAACUUAGCCAAGUCUUGAAUUUCUAGCUUGGCACUAAUAUCAGCACACUGGAGUAAGAAAAUGCAAACAGUCCAUUCUGACCAAGACAGACUGCAAGUCCAUUGGGAGUUCAAAGCAGCCAUUGUUUACCCAUCUUAAUUUCUUUGAUUCAAGAUCAGACUAUCAUCAUGUUUACAAGGACAUAAGGAUGGCAAAAGUCUGGCAAUGUGGGGUUUCCAAUUGUCCGACUGUGGGGCAAAGAUAUAAUGGCCACUAUAACAAGAAGUUAUCUCAAGACCAACAAAUGAAGCAGGCAACUCUGUAGAAUAUAAUAGGAUUUGUUGUAAUGUAAUUUACUUAUGGAAAGAUUGGGUAAGAGCAGAACAGAUGACCUAGCAAUUCUGCAUAGAUUAUUCUCAGGUACUAAUAAUUGAUAAGACAAAGGGACAGGAAUGCAGUAAUACUGGAGGCCGUAAUUCCUGGUGGUCUUAUGAUAGAUGAUUGUUUAUAAUUGAUACCAUCACCAGUUUGAUAUUUAUUAUGGUUGUCAUGCUAUUCUGGCCAUUACUAAUAAAGAUAUUGAUGGCUACA